UACAGAGGUCUCAAGCGUUGUUCGGAUUCAUUGGGCGUAAAGGGUGCGUAGGCGGCGCGGUAAGUCGGGUGUGAAAUCUCGGAGCUUAACUCCGAAACUGCAUUCGAUACUGCCGUGCUUGAGGACUGGAGAGGAGACUGGAGUUUACGGUGUAGCGGUGAAAUGCGUAGAUAUCGUAAGGAAGACCAGUGGCGAAGGCGGGUCUCUGGACAGUUCCUGACGCUGAGGCACGAAGGUCAGGGGAGCAAACGGG
Molecule: ribosomal RNA, 253 nt
Filed under: uncultured bacterium
Lineage: Bacteria
Description: partial 16S ribosomal RNA
Rfam family: Bacterial small subunit ribosomal RNA
Source: RNAcentral